Molecule: ribosomal RNA, 393 nt
Filed under: uncultured eukaryote
Lineage: Eukaryota
Description: SSU rRNA
Rfam family: Eukaryotic small subunit ribosomal RNA
Source: RNAcentral
AGCUCCAAGAGCGUAUAUUAAAGUUGUUGCGGUUAAAAAGCUCGUAGUUGGACUUUGGGUAGGAGCAUGGGGUCCCCGGCGGUUCGCGCCGUCGGGAUUCGGGCCGAGUGUUUCCCUCCCCGUCGCUCGGGACGUAAGCGGUGGCGAUCCGUCGCCGUGGUUCCGUAGGGUUUACUUUGAAUAAAUUAGGGUGUUCAAAGCAGGCGAAUCGCCUUGAAUACGUUAGCAUGGGAUAAUGAAAGAUGACCUUUGGUCUAUACUUUAUUGGUUUCCAAGGCCGAGGUAAUGAUCGAUAGGGACGGUCGGGGUCGCUCGUAUUCGGUGGUCAGAGGUGAAAUUCUAGGACCCACCGAGGACGAACAAAUGCGAAGGCAUUCGACAAGGACGUUUUCG